Molecule: microRNA precursor, 101 nt
Filed under: Lottia gigantea (owl limpet)
Lineage: Eukaryota; Metazoa; Mollusca; Gastropoda; Lottiidae
Description: microRNA lgi-mir-71 precursor
Gene: lgi-mir-71
Rfam family: mir-71 microRNA precursor family (bases 16-85)
Source: miRBase by way of RNAcentral
ACCAUGCAGCAGAAAUCUUUGUGAAAGACAAGGGUAGUGAGAUGAUUCAAUAAUACCAUCUUACUACUCUGUCUUUUGCAUAGAUUUUUGGAUAUCAUCAA